UGGACUCAUUGAAGGGAGAUGGACCAAUAAGGACUGGCUGGAAAAAUCAAGAAUUAACUCUGAAAAUAGGAGCAAAACUACAGGCAAACAUAGAUGCGGGACAAAGGCACUUGCUGUUAGAGUUGAUGAGGAGACAAAUAAUAAUGACGGUCAAGUUCCUGAAUUGGCAAAAAUCUACAAAGAUGUUCAUUUCAAUC
Molecule: long non-coding RNA, 197 nt
Organism: Quercus lobata
Lineage: Eukaryota; Viridiplantae; Streptophyta; Magnoliopsida; Fagales; Fagaceae
Exons: 3
Source: RefSeq, a predicted model, not a curated record